AAAUAUGGUUACGGCACAGAGUGGAUGCCUCGACUUGUGUAUCCGAUGAAGGACGUGGGAGACUGCGAUAUGCCUCGGUAAGCCGUCAACAGGCGUUAUAACCGGGGAUUUCCGAAUGGGGGAACCCUAAAGAGCGAACCUCUUUAAUCCGUAAUGGAAGGACACUUGCUGAAUUGAAAUAUCUUAGUAAGCAAGGAAAAGAAAUCAAUUGAGAUUCCCUAAGUAGUGACGAGCGAAACGGGAUCAGCCCAAACCUGCGUAAACUUAUGGGUGCAGACCUUGAACGCAGGGGUUGUAAGAGUUAUUUACCGUCUUCUGCAAGGACGGACAAAGCGAUAGUUUGGAUAGGAGAAGGACUUGGGAAGGUCCGCCAAAGAGGGUGAAAGCCCCGUAACCGAAAUCCUUAUUAUCUAUUUGCAAUAAUUUCUUGAGUAGCAUCAGACACGAGAAAUCUGGUGUGAAGCUGGGGAGACCACUCUCCAAGGCUAAAGAGUACACAAGAUCGAUAGUGAACAAGUACUGUAAAGGAAAGGUGAAAAGAACCCCGGGAGGGGAGUGAAAUAGAUCCUGAAACCCUGUGCCAAUGAAGAGUAGGAGCCUGUAUUUAUACGGGUGACUGCGUACUUUUUGUAGAACGGACCAACGAGUUAGCUGUAUGUGGCAAGGUUAAGGGAGAGUAUACCCGGAGCCGUAGGGAAACCGAGUCUGAAUAGGGCGAUUCAGUCACAUGCACUAGACCCGAAACCCAUGCGAGCUACUCAUGUGCAGGCUGAAGGUGUGGUAACACACACUGGAGGGCCGAACCAUUUAGAGCUGCAAGUCUAUUGGAUGACAUGUGAGUAGGAGUGAAAAGCUAAUCGAGCUGGGAGAUAGCUGGUUCUCCGCGAAAUAUAUUUAGGUAUAGCCUCAUAAAGCAACAGUCUGAGGUAGGGCUCUGAUAAGGUGAGCGGGUCGCGAGACUUAGCAAUCCUUGAUAAACUUCGAAUGCAGACUGCCAAGUAUUAUGAGAGUCAGACAGUGACGGAGAAGCGCCAUUGUCAAAAGGGAAACAGCCCAGAUUCCUGUCUAAGGUCCCCAAAUAUACACUCAGUGGAAAAGGAUGUGAGGUUACUGAGACAACCAGGAUGUUGGCUUAGAAGCAGCCACUCAUUCAAAGAGUGCGUAAUAGCUCACUGGUCGAGUGAUCUUGCGCCGAAAAUUCAACGGGGCUUAAGUGUAUUACCGAAGACGGAAACUCCAAUUUUAUUGGAGUGGUAGCGGAGCGUCCUCUAUGCUGAUGAAGGUGAGUCGUAAGGCUUGCUGGAGGUACGAGGAGUGAAAAUGUUGGUAUGAGUAACGCGAACAGAAUGAAAACUUCUGUCACCGAAUGCCCAAGGUUUCCGAUCCAACGUCAGUCGUGGUCGGGUUAGUCGGUCCUAAGGUGUACCCGAAAGGGGAAACCGAUGGAUAGCAGGUUAAUAUUCCUGCACUUCAAAUGUUCGCUAUUACGACGUGGGGACAUAUCGGGUCAUUGGAGAGGGUUAUAGAUCAUCCUCAAAUUAUACAACAGCGGACACUUAGGAAAAUCCGGGUGUCAUUACGAAAGAGUAUAGUUUCUCUCAAAGUGAAGGCGUAAGCCCGAGCAAUGAGAAGUCCUACAAUGAUUUGGUAUCGAGAAAAGCCACUAAGGAGAACAAAUGAAACCGUACCGCAAUCGAACACUCGUGGGCUGGUGUGAGUACACCAAGGUGGACGGGAUAACUAUGCUUAAGGAACUCUGCAAAACAGCGGUCGUAACUUCGGGAUAAGACCUGCCUGGAGAGUAAUUCACUCUUCAGGCCGCAGCUAACGAGCCCAGGCGACUGUUUACCAAAAACACAGCUCUCUGCAAACACGUAAGUGGAAGUAUAGGGGGUGAUGCCUGCCCAGUGCCAGAAGAUUACGGGGAGGGGUGCAAGCUCUGAACUUAAGUCCUGGUGAACGGCGGCCGUAACUAUAACGGUCCUAAGGUAGCGAAAUUCCUUGUCGGGUAAGUUCCGACCCGCACGAAUGGCAUAACGGUCUGGGCACUGUCUCAAGCAUAGUCCCGGUGAAAUUGCAAUAUCGGUAAAAAUGCCGAUUACUCGCAGCAAGACGGAAAGACCCUAUGAAGCUUUACUCUAACUUGGCACUGAUGUAUUCAGUUUGAUGCGCAGGAUAGGUGGGAGACUAUGAAAGAGACCCUCUGGGGUUUCCCGAGUCAUCCUUGAGAUACCACCCUUCACUCUGUGUACAUCUAACCCCAUAUUGGGGGACAGUGCUUGGCGGGGAGUUUAACUGGGGCGGUUGCCUCCUAAAAAAUAACGGAGGCGCACAAAGGUAUGCUAGUCCCGGAUGGAAAUCGGGAUGGUCGUGUAUUCGCAUAAGCAUGCUUAACUGAGAGACCAACAAGUCGAUCAGAUACGAAAGUAGGUGAAAGUGAUCCGGCACCAACAUGUGGGAGUGGUGUCGCUCAACGGAUAAAAG
This 2484-nucleotide ribosomal RNA is filed under the name activated sludge metagenome. RNAcentral describes it as "bacterial LSU rRNA". It matches the Rfam family "Bacterial large subunit ribosomal RNA", at positions 1 to 2462 of the family's 2925-position model. The record is from RNAcentral.